GCAGAAUAGCCUAAAACGUCAAGUUUUGAAGAUAUAUUUUAUUCUUUUUAACAAGGAGCUGCGAAACUGCAGAGAAUAUGGGAGAAGGAACGAGAUGAAGAGAAAGCAAACCAAAGGAGCUGCGAAACUGCAGAGACAGCGGAAGAAGGAACGAGAUGAAGAGAAAGCUAACCAGAGGAGCUGUGGAGAAGUUGCUGUGAAAGCCAAAGAAGGAACUGGAUGAACACAAAGCAGACGUGAGGUAUGCAUAAUUAUGUCAUUAUU
Long non-coding RNA from Scatophagus argus, 264 nucleotides. RefSeq lists it as uncharacterized. The record is from RefSeq and is a predicted model, not a curated record. Lineage: Eukaryota; Metazoa; Chordata; Actinopteri; Scatophagidae. The transcript has 3 exons.